Non-coding RNA from Picea glauca (white spruce), 332 nucleotides. NCBI's taxonomy places the organism in Eukaryota, Viridiplantae, Streptophyta, Pinopsida, Pinales, Pinaceae. The record is from Rfam.
CCAUGUGAACAUCACUUGGACAUGGGUUAGUCGAUCCUAAGAGAUGGGGAAUCCUUGUAUCAAGGGUGCACUCUGCAUGAACAUCGAAAGAGAAUUGGGUUAAUAUUCUUGAACCGGGACAUGGUGGUGGACGACAAUGUUAGGAAAUCUGGAGAUGUCAUCGGGGGCCUGGGAAGAGUUAUCUUUUCUUUUUAACGACUUUCCCACCCUGAAAUCGGUUCAAUCGGAGAUAGGGUCCAACAUCUGGAAGAGCACCACACGUCUUGUGGUGUUUGGUGCCCCCUAUAUUAGUUUUGUUCAAUGCAUCUAUACAUAUCAUCCGAGCCCCAUGU